GACGAACGCUGGCGGCGUGCCUAAUACAUGCAAGUAGAACGCUGAAGAGAGGAGCUUACUCUUCUUGGAUGAGUUGCGAACGGGUGAGUAACGCGUAGGUAACCUGCCUUGUAGCGGGGGAUAACUAUUGGAAACGAUAGCUAAUACCGCAUAACAAUGGAUGACACAUGUCAUUUAUUUGAAAGGGGCAAUUGCUCCACUACAAGAUGGACCUGCGUUGUAUUAGCUAGUAGGUGAGGUAAUGGCUCACCUAGGCGACGAUACAUAGCCGACCUGAGAGGGUGGUCAGCCACACUGGGACUGAGACCCGGCCCAGGCUCCUUCGGGAGGCAGCAGUAGGGAAACUUCGGGAAUGGGGGCAAACCUGACCGAGCAACGCCGAGGCAGUGAAGAAGGGUGUCGGAUCGUAAAGCUCUGUUGUAAGUCAAGAACGGGUGUGAGAGUGGAAAGUUCACACUGUGACGGUAGCUGAUCAGAAAGGGACGGCUAACUACGUG
RNAcentral lists this ribosomal RNA (497 nucleotides) under uncultured bacterium. RNAcentral's name for it is "partial 16S ribosomal RNA". It matches the Rfam family "Bacterial small subunit ribosomal RNA", at positions 28 to 507 of the family's 1533-position model. The record is from RNAcentral.